CUUGGGUAUAGUGAAAAUAAAUUGAACCAAAAUUUUUAUUGAUGAAAUCCAUAAUGACACUGGUAUAUGACUAACACUGAAUUAUGAGAUAGUAAAGGAAUACUUUCAAAUCUUGAAUGUCUACUCUAAGGCAAUGUACUCUGCUAUUUACAUGGACUAUCUGCUCAAGAACACAGAAGAGGCUGGAAAGUGUAGUUGUCUCUGAAAAGGGUGAUUUUAAAGCUUCAGAAAAGGUGAGAGAUAAGAUUUUUAUUUCUUUUGAAUUUAGUGCUAUGUAUGUGUGCUGUAAAAAUGAACUGAGGCCAGGUACAGUGGCUCACACCUGUAAUCCCAGCACUUUGGGAGGUGGAGGCAGGCAGAUCACUUGAGGCCAGGUGUUCAAGACCAGCCUGGCCUACGUGGCGAAACCCUGUCUCUACUAAAAAUACAAAAAUUAGCUGGGCACGGUGGUACACGCCUGUAGUCCCAGCUACUCGGGAGGCUGAGGCAGGAGAAUCGCUUGAACCCGGGAGGCAGAGGUUGCAGUGAGAUCACACCACUGUACUCCAGCCUGGGUGACAGAGAGAGACUCUGUCUCAAAUUUUAAAAAAUGAAUUGAGUAAAUAUGUUCACCCAAAUUCCAAUUACACCUUGGUUUCAUUUCCACAUUGUAAAUCUUGGCCUUCUCAGUCUUCAGGUUAACUAACAGAAUUCUAGAAAUUAAGAGUAGGCUCCUCUGAGUCUGGAAGAAAAAAUACUUAACAAGGUUAGACCAAAAAUAUUUUCCCUGUCCCCUACAUCUACAAACAAUCAGAUAAUAUUCUAUAUCAUAAAAAAUUCCUAGUAAAUGUUCUAACAAUAUAGACUUUAUAUUUCAGAAUUUCUGCUUUUAAAAAUUAACAUUAAUCUCAAAAAGGUGAAAUUAUGUUUGUGGUCUUAAUAUAUACAUUAAAUUAUCUGUAUUAUGAAAUUUAUACAUAUUUGUAAUUUUACUUUUUAAAAUAAAGGAUCACUUGUUAUGUCUCAUACAUAAAAAGCUAAUGAAACUUAAGAGUCUGAUUUUUUAUUUAACUAAAACCUUUGAGAGUCUAUGGCUAAUUUAAAGUAAUACCAAUGAUUAUUUCAGGAAUUACAUAUAACCCAUUUUAGCAACUAAAAGCAGAUGUACGCUGCUGGCCAAUGGGAAAUGUUUCCUUGCUCCUGUCACGGGAGAUGCUCUCCCUUAUUAUUUUCUGUGGAUGUUGUCAUGUCUGUUUGUAAUAUCUGGAAACCUGCCAGCCAUCAUGGUGCCAGCCAACACUGGGGAGUGCAGAGUGGAAAAUGGAAGAGAAACUGAGCCUCUGAAAAUUUAAUUUUGCGGCCGGGCGCAGUGAUAAAGCUGAUUCCAUCACAGUCAUCAAAACCAGC
RNAcentral lists this long non-coding RNA (1386 nucleotides) under Homo sapiens (human). RNAcentral describes it as "HSALNT0260405". The record is from RNAcentral. Lineage: Eukaryota; Metazoa; Chordata; Mammalia; Primates; Hominidae.